Molecule: transfer RNA, 83 nt
Filed under: Olea europaea subsp. europaea
Lineage: Eukaryota; Viridiplantae; Streptophyta; Magnoliopsida; Lamiales; Oleaceae
Description: tRNA.Leu
Source: RNAcentral
GCCAGUUUGCCCGAGAGGUUAAGGAGGAAGACUCAAGAUCGUCUGCACAUAAGUGCGCAUGGGUUUGAACCCCAUGGCAAGCA